GAUGAAGAACGUAGCGAAAUGCGAUAAGUAAUGUGAAUUGCAGAAUUCAGUGAAUCAUCGAAUCUUUGAACGCACCUUGCGCCCUUUGGACAUUCCGCAGGGCAUGCCUGUUUGAGUAUCAUGAACACCUCAACUCUCACGGCUUGUCCGUGAUGAGCUUGGACUUUGGGGGUCUUGCCGGCCUGUGGUCGGCUCCUCUCAAAUGGAUCAGCUUGCCAGUGUUUGGUGGCAUCACAGGUGUGAUAACUAUCUGCGCUUGUGGUUUUCCAUCAGAUAACCUUCAGUGAUAUGGAGGUUCGCUGGAGCUCACAAAUGUCUCUCCUUAGUGAGGACAGCUCUUUGAACGUUUGAUCUCAAAUCAGGUAGGACUACCCGCUGAACUUAAGCAUAUCAAUAAGCGGAGGA
Molecule: unclassified non-coding RNA, 405 nt
Filed under: soil metagenome
Description: partial contains 5.8S ribosomal RNA, internal transcribed spacer 2, and large subunit ribosomal RNA
Rfam family: 5.8S ribosomal RNA (bases 1-121)
Source: RNAcentral